Molecule: transfer RNA, 74 nt
Filed under: Pseudomonadota bacterium
Lineage: Bacteria; Pseudomonadati; Pseudomonadota
Also listed under: 3 other names
Description: tRNA-Pro
Rfam family: tRNA
About the family: Transfer RNA (tRNA) molecules are approximately 80 nucleotides in length.
Source: RNAcentral
CGGGGCGUGGCGCAGCCUGGUAGCGCGCUUGCAUGGGGUGCAAGAGGUCGUGGGUUCGAGUCCCGCCGCCCCGA